Molecule: ribosomal RNA, 376 nt
Filed under: uncultured bacterium
Lineage: Bacteria
Description: bacterial SSU rRNA
Rfam family: Bacterial small subunit ribosomal RNA
Source: RNAcentral
GACAGAGGUGCCGAGCGUUAGGCGGAAUCACUGGGCUUAAAGCGUGUGUAGGCGGGUCGUUAAGUGCCUUGUGAAAUCCCACAGCUCAACUGUGGAACUGCUUGGCAUACUGGCGAUCUUGAGCCAGCUAGAGGCAACCGGAACAAACGGUGGAGCGGUGAAAUGCGUAGAUAUCGUUUGGAACGCCAAUGGUGAAAACAGGUUGCUGGGGCUGCGCUGACGCUGAGACACGAAAGCCAGGGGAGCGAACGGGAUUAGAUACCCCGGUAGUCCUGGCUGUAAACGAUGUCCACUAGAUUCUGGCGGCUCUGACGCCGUCAGGAUCGAAGCAAAAGUGCUAAGUGGACCGCCUGGGAAGUACGGUCGCAAGGCUAAA